GGAGAGGUGCCAGAGUGGCCGAUUGGGCACGACUGGAAAUCGUGUGUGCCCCUAACACGGGCACCGGGGGUUCGAAUCCCCCCCUCUCCG
This 90-nucleotide transfer RNA is filed under the name Deltaproteobacteria bacterium. RNAcentral describes it as "tRNA-Ser". It matches the Rfam family "tRNA". Rfam says of the family: Transfer RNA (tRNA) molecules are approximately 80 nucleotides in length. Their secondary structure includes four short double-helical elements and three loops (D, anti-codon, and T loops). Further hydrogen bonds mediate the characteristic L-shaped molecular structure. tRNAs have two regions of fundamental functional importance: the anti-codon, which is responsible for specific mRNA codon recognition, and the 3' end, to which the tRNAs corresponding amino acid is attached (by aminoacyl-tRNA synthetases). tRNAs cope with the degeneracy of the genetic code in two manners: having more than one tRNA (with a specific anti-codon) for a particular amino acid; and 'wobble' base-pairing, i.e. permitting non-standard base-pairing at the 3rd anti-codon position. The record is from RNAcentral. RNAcentral also lists the same sequence under 2 other names. Lineage: Bacteria; Pseudomonadati; Myxococcota; Myxococcia.